CACAAGCGGUGGAGUAUGUGGCUUAAUUCGAUGCAACGCGAAGAACCUUACCUGGGCUUGACAUGUAAUGAACAACAUGCGAAAGCAUGCGACUCUUCGGAGGCGUUACACAGGUGCUGCAUGGCCGUCGUCAGCUCGUGUCGUGAGAUGUUUGGUUAAGUCCAGCAACGAGCGCAACCCCUGUUGCCAGUUACCAGCACGUGAAGGUGGGGACUCUGGCGAGACUGCCCAGAUCAACUGGGAGGAAGGUGGGGACGACGUCAGGUCAGUAUGGCCCUUAUGCCCAGGGCUGCACACGUACUACAAUGCCCAGUACAGAGGGGGCCGAAGCCGCGAGGCGGAGGAAAUCCUAAAAACUGGGCCCAGUUCGGACUGUAGGCUGCAACCCGCCUACACGAAGCCGGAAUCGCUAGUAAUGGCGCAUCAGCUACGGCGCCGUGAAUACGUUCCCGGGUCUUGUACACACCGCCCGUCACAUCAUGGAAGCCGGUCGCACCCGAAGUAUCUGAAGCCAACCGCAAGGAGGCAGGGUCCUAAGGUGAGACUGGUAACUGGGAUGAAGUCGUAACAAGGUAGCCGUAGGGGAACCUGCGGCUGGAUCA
This 602-nucleotide ribosomal RNA is filed under the name uncultured bacterium. Its description in RNAcentral is "bacterial SSU rRNA". It matches the Rfam family "Bacterial small subunit ribosomal RNA", at positions 924 to 1525 of the family's 1533-position model. The record is from RNAcentral.